Molecule: long non-coding RNA, 1084 nt
Filed under: Homo sapiens (human)
Lineage: Eukaryota; Metazoa; Chordata; Mammalia; Primates; Hominidae
Description: HSALNT0249329
Source: RNAcentral
CUGAAAUAUUAACUUUAUUUGAGUUUCAAGAUACCGAUCAUUUAAGAAUCUGAUGAUGAACCUUUAAAAACCAGCUACUAAUUUCUUGACAUAACUGAUACAGCUUUUAAUAAUGUACUGUUGCUGGCUAGGCUUUUAAAAAUUUAAUAUUCAUAGGGAGGCUUAUUCAAUUUUAAUUAAAACAUAAUAUUGUAAGUUUUUUAUGAAACAAAAUUUUUCCUGGAUUUUCUUUCUUUUCAAAAGAAUAAGAAAGGUUAUGUUAAUUAAAUUUAAAAGAUGAGAUGAAACACUUAAUAUAGUAAUCAGAAGUGCUUGUUCUUACCCUUUCUCUUCUUUUUUUGCUAGAUAUUAUUGUCACACUAUUGCUAGUCCGCCUAAAAGUUAUCUUUGCAAUAGAGUAUUUAUAAAUUAUGCUUUCUGGGAGUCAUGCAAAAUAAUAGUAAAAAUUCAGUUGAGAUAUGGGGAUAUGUUUGUUGUAUUCCAGAGUGAGAUGUAGAGAUCUCAUCUCCAUGGCUAAGAUUUAAGCUUCGACCCUCGUCGUGGGGUUUCGACUGUAUCCUCAUCACUCCUAGCAGUACCCAUUGAUGUUUAUUGCCAUUCUGAUUAAUUUAAAGGUGGAACAAAUUUCAACAUGAAUAACUCUAUUUCUUGUUAGUAGUAUUUACUUGAAGCUUUAAACAUGUCCUUUAUAAAUUAAGCACUUAUGAUUUCAAAAUCUCCUUUGGAAUGGCUGUCAGUCAAGGAAUUCUCUGAUUCCAACAGUUUUUGAUCCUUUAAGUAAGCACUUGCAGCAUGUUUUAAAAGUCCAAUUUGCAUGCCUCUCACUCUUCAGUGGUUGUGAAUUGUUUUAGCAUCUUGCCUCACUUUAAGUUGAUCACCUGGUCAGCCAAAUCUUGCUAAUAAUAAAUAAUAGGCCUCUGAUUACAAGAAGGAAUAGUCUAGUCUAAAAUCAUGCUGUUGGAGACUUUGUGCAUCCAUUUGAUGUUAAUGAAAGUAGAUCUGGUGUUGACUAUGAUAUCCAAACACAGCUUUACCUCAGUAAUACCAUACCUAAGAUUAGCUAACGGGGCCAUUCACUGUCCUG